UAGCGGUGUGGGAUGAGCCCGCGGCCUAUCAGCUUGUUGGUGGGGUGACGGCCUACCAAGGCGACGACGGGUAGCCGGCCUGAGAGGGUGUCCGGCCACACUGGGACUGAGAUACGGCCCAGACUCCUACGGGAGGCAGCAGUGGGGAAUAUUGCACAAUGGGCGCAAGCCUGAUGCAGCGACGCCGCGUGGGGGAUGACGGCCUUCGGGUUGUAAACCUCUUUCACCAUCGACGAAGGUCCGGGUUCUCUCGGAUUGACGGUAGGUGGAGAAGAAGCACCGGCCAACUACGUGCCAGCAGCCGCGGUAAUACGUAGGGUGCGAGCGUUGUCCGGAAUUACUGGGCGUAAAGAGCUCGUAGGUGGUUUGUCGCGUUGUUCGUGAAAUCUCACGGCUUAACUGUGAGCGUGCGGGCGAUACGGGCAGACUAGAGUACUGCAGGGGAGACUGGAAUUCCUGGUGUAGCGGUGGAAUGCGCAGAUAUCAGGAGGAACACCGGUGGCGAAGGCGGGUCUCUGGGCAGUAACUGACGCUGAGGAGCGAAAGCGUGGGGAGCGAACAGGAUUAGAUACCCUGGUAGUCCACGCCGUAAACGGUGGGUACUAGGUGUGGGUUUCCUUCCUUGGGAUCCGUGCCGUAGCUAACGCAUUAAGUACCCCGCCUGGGGAGUACGGCCGCAAGGCUAAAACUCAAAGGAAUUGACGGGGGCCCGCACAAGCGGCGGAGCAUGUGGAUUAAUUCGAUGCAACGCGAAGAACCUUACCUGGGUUUGACAUGCACAGGACGCGUCUAGAGAUAGGCGUUCCCUUGUGGCCUGUGUGCAGGUGGUGCAUGGCUGUCGUCAGCUCGUGUCGUGAGAUGUUGGGUUAAGUCCCGCAACGAGCGCAACCCUUGUCUCAUGUUGCCAGCACGUAAUGGUGGGGACUCGUGAGAGACUGCCGGGGUCAACUCGGAGGAAGGUGGGGAUGACGUCAAGUCAUCAUGCCCCUUAUGUCCAGGGCUUCACACAUGCUACAAUGGCCGGUACAAAGGGCUGCGAUGCCGCGAGGUUAAGCGAAUCCUUAAAAGCCGGUCUCAGUUCGGAUCGGGGUCUGCAACUCGACCCCGUGAAGUCGGAGUCGCUAGUAAUCGCAGAUCAGCAACGCUGCGGUGAAUACGUUCCCGGGCCUUGUACACACCGCCCGUCA
Molecule: ribosomal RNA, 1187 nt
Filed under: Mycobacterium tuberculosis
Lineage: Bacteria; Bacillati; Actinomycetota; Actinomycetes; Mycobacteriales; Mycobacteriaceae
Description: bacterial SSU rRNA
Rfam family: Bacterial small subunit ribosomal RNA
Source: RNAcentral